Molecule: ribosomal RNA, 491 nt
Filed under: uncultured bacterium
Lineage: Bacteria
Description: partial 16S ribosomal RNA
Rfam family: Bacterial small subunit ribosomal RNA
Source: RNAcentral
AGUGAACGCUGGCGGUAGGCCUAACACAUGCAAGUCGAACGGCAGCACAGUAAGAGCUUGCUCUUACGGGUGGCGAGUGGCGGACGGGUGAGGAAUACAUCGGAAUCUACUUUUUCGUGGGGGAUAACGUAGGGAAACUUACGCUAAUACCGCAUACGACCUACGGGUGAAAGAAGGGGAUCUUCGGACCUUGCGCGAUUGAAUGAGCCGAUGUCGGAUUAGCUAGUUGGCGGGGUAAAGGCCCACCAAGGCGACGAUCCGUAGCUGGUCUGAGAGGAUGAUCAGCCACACUGGAACUGAGACACGGUCCAGACUCCUACGGGAGGCAGCAGUGGGGAAUAUUGGACAAUGGGCGCAAGCCUGAUCCAGCCAUACCGCGUGGGUGAAGAAGGCCUUCGGGUUGUAAAGCCCUUUUGUUGGGAAAGAAAAGCAGCAGGUUAAUACCCCGCUGUUCGGACGGUACCCAAAGAAUAAGCACCGGCUAACUUCGU